GAUGAACGCUAGCUACAGGCUUAACACAUGCAAGUCGCGGGGCAGCAUGGGGGUUGCUUGCAACCCCUGAUGGCGACCGGCGCACGGGUGAGUAACGCGUAUCCAACCUGCCCUUCACCACGGGAUAACCCGGCGAAAGUCGGACUAAUACCGUAUGUUGUCCAUUGACGGCAUCCGAUUUGGACGAAAGGCUUGGCGGUGAAGGGAUGGGGAUGCGUCCGAUUAGCUUGACGGCGGGGUAACGGCCCACCGUGGCUACGAUCGGUAGGGGUUCUGAGAGGAAGGUCCCCCACACUGGAACUGAGACACGGUCCAGACUCCUACGGGAGGCAGCAGUGAGGAAUAUUGGUCAAUGGGCGUAAGCCUGAACCAGCCAAGUAGCGUGCAGGAGGACGGCCCUAUGGGUUGUAAACUGCUUUUAUGCGGGGAUAAAGUGGCCCACGUGUGGGCUUUUGCAGGUACCGCAUGAAUAAGGACCGGCUAAUUCCGUG
This 491-nucleotide ribosomal RNA is filed under the name uncultured bacterium. RNAcentral describes it as "partial 16S ribosomal RNA". It matches the Rfam family "Bacterial small subunit ribosomal RNA", at positions 28 to 507 of the family's 1533-position model. The record is from RNAcentral.